UACGAAGGGGGCUAGCGUUGUUCGGAUUUACUGGGCGUAAAGGGCGCGUAGGCGGCGCACCAAGUCAGGCGUGAAAGCCCUGGGCUCAACCCGGGAAUUGCGCUUGAGACUGGUGUGCUUGAGUACGGGAGAGGAUAGUGGAAUUCCCAGUGUAGAGGUGAAAUUCGUAGAUAUUGGGAAGAACACCGGUGGCGAAGGCGGCUAUCUGGACCGUAACUGACGCUGAGGCGCGAAAGCGUGGGGAGCAAACAGG
Molecule: ribosomal RNA, 253 nt
Filed under: uncultured bacterium
Lineage: Bacteria
Description: partial 16S ribosomal RNA
Rfam family: Bacterial small subunit ribosomal RNA
Source: RNAcentral